Molecule: regulatory RNA element, 116 nt
Organism: Firmicutes bacterium CAG:424
Lineage: Bacteria; Bacillati; Bacillota
Rfam family: FMN riboswitch aptamer (RFN element)
About the family: The RFN element is a highly conserved domain that is found frequently in the 5'-untranslated regions of prokaryotic mRNAs that encode for flavin mononucleotide (FMN) biosynthesis and transport proteins.
Source: Rfam
GGAAUUCUUCGGGGCGGGGUGUAAUUCCCCACCGGCGGUAUAGUCCGCGAGCGCAAAAGCGUUGAUUUGGUGCAAUUCCAAAACCGACAGUAAAGUCUGGAUGAGAGAAGAAAAAG